AAGUUAAAGAUUGAGGGUUCAACCCCCUCCCUAGUGA
Molecule: transfer RNA, 37 nt
Filed under: Equus sp.
Lineage: Eukaryota; Metazoa; Chordata; Mammalia; Perissodactyla; Equidae
Description: partial tRNA-Lys
Source: RNAcentral